GACGAACGCUGGCGGCGUGCUUAACACAUGCAAGUCGAACGGAAAGGCCCUGCUUUUGUGGGGUGCUCGAGUGGCGAACGGGUGAGUAACACGUGAGUAACCUGCCCUUGACUUUGGGAUAACUUCAGGAAACUGGGGCUAAUACAGGAUAGGAUCUCCUGCUGCAUGGUGGGGGUUGGAAAGUUUCGGCGGUUGGGGAUGGACUCGCGGCUUAUCAGCUUGUUGGUGGGGUAGUGGCUUACCAAGGCUUUGACGGGUAGCCGGCCUGAGAGGGUGAACGGCCACAAUGGGACUGCGAGACGGCGCAGACUCGUACGGGAGGCAGCAGUGGGGAGUAUUGCACAAUGGGCGGAAGCCUGAUGCAGCGACGCCGCGUGCGGGAUGACGGCCUUCGGGUUGUAAACCGCUUUCGCCUGUGACGAAGCGUGAGUGACGGUAAUGGGUAAAGAAGCACCGGCUAACUACGUG
Molecule: ribosomal RNA, 468 nt
Filed under: uncultured bacterium
Lineage: Bacteria
Description: partial 16S ribosomal RNA
Rfam family: Bacterial small subunit ribosomal RNA
Source: RNAcentral